CGAAAUAUUGAACAAUAUUUUGUCUUUAAACAGGAGAGAAGUGAAUUGAAAGCUGCACAGAUAAGAAAAAAAUUAUCUAAAAGUGUUGAUACCAACAAAGAGGAUCAGACAACCGACGACACGAAGAAUGAAGAAUACACCUUGAAUAAACUGGAGCUGCAGUUUAGUGAUGAUGUGCAGAACCAUUCGGCUAAGAUCGAGUUGUUGAGUAAGGCGCGGGAUGAUCUACAUAUUGGGUUGCAGAAGAUCCUGAAAACUGGAGAUUUCUUGCUAAAGAAAGGGAGAACCGCCAUAGGAAAUGAUCUCACCCAACUCAAAAGAAAAUGGGAACUGUUCUGUUCAAAGGAUGCAUUCAAUCGAUGUGCGAAUACGUCAAAUAAAUGCGACUUGCCUGAUCCUAAACUUUACAGUACGUCGUCCGGAAAACCUGACUAUUUUA
This is a long non-coding RNA of Mercenaria mercenaria, 439 nucleotides long. RefSeq lists it as uncharacterized. NCBI's taxonomy places the organism in Eukaryota, Metazoa, Mollusca, Bivalvia, Venerida, Veneridae. The record is from RefSeq and is a predicted model, not a curated record. The transcript is spliced from 3 exons.